CGAACGCUGGCGGCGUGCUUAACACAUGCAAGUCGAGCGGAAAGGCCCUUCGGGGUACUCGAGCGGCGAACGGGUGAGUAACACGUGAGCAACCUGCCCUCAGCUCCGGGAUAGCUCCACGAAAGUGGAAUUAAUACCGGAUAUGACCACAGCCGACAUCAGCUGUGGUGGAAAGGAUUUCCGGCUGAGGAUGGGCUCGCGGCCUAUCAGCUAGUUGGUGGGGUAACGGCCUACCAAGGCGACGACGGGUAGCCGGCUUGAGAGGGCGACCGGCCACACUGGGACUGAGACACGGCCCAGGAUCCUACGGGAGGCAGCAUUUGG
This 324-nucleotide ribosomal RNA is filed under the name uncultured Actinomycetales bacterium. Its description in RNAcentral is "bacterial SSU rRNA". It matches the Rfam family "Bacterial small subunit ribosomal RNA", at positions 30 to 358 of the family's 1533-position model. The record is from RNAcentral. Lineage: Bacteria; Bacillati; Actinomycetota; Actinomycetes; Actinomycetales.